CGACCGGCGCACGGGUGAGUAACACGUAUCCAACCUGCCGAUGACUCGGGGAUAGCCUUUCGAAAGAAAGAUUAAUACCCGAUGGCAUAGUUCUUCCGCAUGGUAGAACUAUUAAAGAAUUUCGGUCAUCGAUGGGGAUGCGCUCCAUUAGGUUGUUGGCGGGGUAACGGCCCACCAAGCCUUCGAUGGAUAGGGGUUCUGAGAGGAAGGUCCCCCACAUUGGAACUGAGACACGGUCCAA
RNAcentral lists this ribosomal RNA (241 nucleotides) under uncultured bacterium. RNAcentral describes it as "partial 16S ribosomal RNA". It matches the Rfam family "Bacterial small subunit ribosomal RNA", at positions 92 to 334 of the family's 1533-position model. The record is from RNAcentral.